RNAcentral lists this ribosomal RNA (252 nucleotides) under uncultured bacterium. RNAcentral's name for it is "partial 16S ribosomal RNA". It matches the Rfam family "Bacterial small subunit ribosomal RNA", at positions 1250 to 1500 of the family's 1533-position model. The record is from RNAcentral.
CUACCACGCGAGUGGAUGCCAAUCCCUAAAACCCCUCUCAGUUCGGACUGGAGUCUGCAACCCGACUCCACGAAGCUGGAAUCGCUAGUAAUCGCGGAUCAGCACGCCGCGGUGAAUACGUUCCCGGGCCUUGUACACACCGCCCGUCACACCAUGAGAGUCUGUAACACCCAAAGCCGGUGGGAUAACCUUUAUAGGAGUCAGCCGUCUAAGGUAGGACAGAUGAUUAGGGUGAAGUCGUAACAAGGUAUC